UACGAAGGGGGCUAGCGUUGCUCGGAAUCACUGGGCGUAAAGGGUGCGUAGGCGGGUCUUUAAGUCAGGGGUGAAAUCCUGGAGCUCAACUCCAGAACUGCCUUUGAUACUGAAGAUCUUGAGUUCGGGAGAGGUGAGUGGAACUGCGAGUGUAGAGGUGAAAUUCGUAGAUAUCGGGAAGAACACCCGUGGCGAAGGCGGCUCUCUGGGACGGUACUGACGCUGAGACGCGAAAGCGUGGGGAGCGAACAGG
This 253-nucleotide ribosomal RNA is filed under the name uncultured bacterium. RNAcentral's name for it is "partial 16S ribosomal RNA". It matches the Rfam family "Bacterial small subunit ribosomal RNA", at positions 524 to 776 of the family's 1533-position model. The record is from RNAcentral.